UACGGAGGGUGCAAGCGUUAUCCGGAAUCACUGGGUUUAAAGGGUCCGCAGGUUGGCUAUUAAGUCAGUGGUGAAAUCCCAUCGCUAAACGAUGGAACUGCCAUAGAAACUGAUAGUCUUGAGAUUAGUAGAUGUAGGCGGAAUGAAGCAUGUAGCGGUGAAAUGCAUAGAGAUGCUUCAGAACACCAAUUGCGAAGGCAGCUUGCAAGGCUAAAUCUGACGCUAAUGGACGAAAGCGUGGGUAGCGAACAGG
RNAcentral lists this ribosomal RNA (253 nucleotides) under uncultured bacterium. RNAcentral describes it as "partial 16S ribosomal RNA". It matches the Rfam family "Bacterial small subunit ribosomal RNA", at positions 524 to 776 of the family's 1533-position model. The record is from RNAcentral.